CUACUAUAUUGGCAAGAACAUUGGGUCGAACGUUGUUAGUAAACGUAGGUUUCAGUCCCAGAGACCUCACAGGGCAAGUUGUGUUACCUCUCUGGGCUUCAUUUUACACAUUUCUAAAAGAAGAGUGUUGAACUUGGUCAUUUUUGUUAUGCAUUCCAGCCUCCAAAAUUCGUGUCAUUUGUCUUUGGGGGAAGAGAUGGGGAUGAGAAAAAAACUCACAACAACUACAGGAGGCAUUGAUGAAAAUCUUUCCCCCUCCCCAUAGUAGGCAGAAUAAUGGUCCUGCCAAGAUGCCCGCAUCCUAAUCCCAGAAUCUGUGAAUAUGUUGCAUGGCAAGGCGGACUUAUUGUUUCAGAUGGAAUGAAGGUUGCCAACCGGCUGACUUAAAAUAAGUAGAUUAUUCGAGUGGGCCCGUUGGAAUCUUAAGAGGCCUUUAAAAGUGGAAGAGGCAGGUGGAGGAGUUGCUGUCAGAUGACGCAGAGUCAGAAAUAGUACCCCUAUUGUGGACUUUGAACAUGGAAGGGGGCCACAAGCCGAGGAAUGCAGUCAGCUUCUAGAAACCCGACAAGGCAAGGAAACAGAUCAUCCCCCAGAGCAUCCAAAAGGAACCAGCCCUGCUAACACCUUGAUUUGAGCCCAGUGAGACCCGUUGUGGACUUCUGACCACUAGAACUGUAAGAUAAUAAAUUUGUAUUUUUUUAAGCCACCAGGCUUGUGGUAAUUUGUUACAACAGUAAUAGAAAACUAAUACACCUCCUUCCCAAUGAAAAAGAUGUUUAAUAAAAGGAAAAACUAUAAACUUUUCUGGUAAAGUAAUAUGCCAAGAAAAUAAAUCCACGUGGCAUGUAUGACCUAGCAGCAGUCACUUUAGGGACCGUCUAAAAUCAUUAUUUAUUAAAAAGAAAGCAGAAUAAAUAAGCCACUUAUAUACUUUAUGAAGCACUCACUUUCAUCUUUCUGGUCUCAGAAGAUGUAUUUGUUGGAGCAUAAUAAAUUAUUACAGUGUAGCAUUACUGACAUAUAUUUUGUUGUUGUUGUCUAGCAGUUUUGAAAAUGAUUCCUACUAAUAACCAAUCCUGGCUGUGGAGACAAGUGACUCAGGAACUCUAAAGAGUCAUGUCUCUCAGCCAAGAGGGGUGAUAUCCAUAAUCGAAGAAGCAGAUGUCCAGGCUGCCAAGUUGUGAGUAGAAUUUCUAGAGAGAAAAGGACAUUGCUACUUACUAUUGCCAGCCCUAAGAGUGUGUGAUUUUAAGAGAUGGUAGCAAGUUUUACGGGGAUGCUCAUGGUGGCUAAGUCUCAUGGUGGGUAUUUCCCUGUGUCUAAUUCAUUGAUUUUUCUCCCCAAGCUGUUUCCUUCAUGGUUUCUAUAACACAUACAGUUUCUGCUGAAGUAGAAACAUCCAGAAAGGCAAGGCCACAAUUCUGUGAGUCUUGGUAAGUGAACAGUGUGCUGUAACCACCAUUACAAUCAGGAUAUAGGACAUUUCCAUCCCCCCAAAGUUUCCCCCAUGGCCUUCGUGGCCAUCCACUCCUGCACCUUCAGCUUCUAGCAGCCAUUUUGUUUUAUCUAGAACAUCAUACCAAUGGAAUCAUAGAGUAUGCAUAUAACCUUUUGGAUGUGGUAUCUUUCAUUAACAUAGAGCAUGUAAACUUCACCCACUUUGUGGUGUGUAUCAGUAAUCGGUUCCUUCUUUAUUGCUGAUUAUCUUCCAUUAUAUUAGCAUAUCACAGUUUGCUUACCCAUUCUGAGGGACAUUUGGGUUGUUUUCAGGUUUUGGCUGUUACAAAUAAAACAUUCAUGUACAGGAUUUUGUGUGAACAGAGGUUUCAUUUCACUUGGGUAAAUAUCAAGGAGCGAGGUUGCCGGGUUGUGUGGGAAGGAAUUUUUAACUUUAUAAGAAAUUGUCAAAGUUUUCCAAAGUGAUUGUUCCAUUUUGCCUUCCCAUCAGAGUUCUAGAUUUUUUAAAAAAAAUUUAUCCAUCCUAAUAGUGCCAUGGAUUAAUUUUGCC
Long non-coding RNA from Equus asinus (donkey), 2008 nucleotides. Lineage: Eukaryota; Metazoa; Chordata; Mammalia; Perissodactyla; Equidae. The record is from Ensembl.